Molecule: ribosomal RNA, 253 nt
Filed under: uncultured bacterium
Lineage: Bacteria
Description: partial 16S ribosomal RNA
Rfam family: Bacterial small subunit ribosomal RNA
Source: RNAcentral
UACGGGGGGAGCAAGCGUUGUUCGGAUUUACUGGGCGUAAAGGGCGCGUAGGCGGCGCAACAAGUCACUUGUGAAAUCUCCGGGCUUAACCCGGAGCGGCCAAGUGAUACUGUCGUGCUAGAGUGCGGAAGGGGCUACUGGAAUUCUCGGUGUAGCGGUGAAAUGCGUAGAUAUCUGGAGGAACACCGGUGGCGAAGGCGGCUCUCUGGGUCGGCCCUGACGCUGAGGCGCGAAAGCGUGGGGAGCGAACGGG